AAAACUACUAAAAACUACCGGAACCUGCCACUUUCACCAUAGUACAUUUUUUAAAGUUAGCAAUUGCCUUCUGGAGAUGGGGCUUUUAUAGCAUUGAAGUGACAGGAUUUUGACUGGAGAACUUGUCUUUGGAUUUCUGGUCCCUCUGUAGAAGACUGAUUUACAUUAGUAGCCUAUCUUAACAAGUCAUGAUACAAAAGACUGAAGAGUUCAUAGGAACUUUUUCAUCCCUCCACUGGGCCCUCUAUAACAUACUGAGCUAGAUGAGUAAGCUGGCUGGGUGGGAACAUCUUUGGAAAGUUCAGCUUUUCUUUCUAAACAAGGGCAAAGGGUAUCUUAUUCCGGCUUUAAACUGGAACUUGGAAACCAGGUGGUAGUUUUUGCAGCUCAUGACUUUUUUGGGGUAUUUCUGUCAUCUUUUGUAAAAUGGGGUUAGUAUGUUCUUUUCUGGUGGACACUGAAGCUAAACUACUUUACUGUGAGGGUGACUGAGCACUGGAAGAGGUUGCCCAGAGAGGUGGUGGAGUCUCCUUCGCUGGAGAUAUUCAAAACCUGCCGGGACAUGAUCCUGGGCAAUGUGCUCUAGAGGACCCUGCUUGAGCAAGGGGGUUGGACUACGUGAUCUCUAGAGGUCCCUUCCAACCUCGGCCCUUCUGUAAUUCUGUAAAGGCAUUGACUUCGUUUUGGUGUGUUGUUAUCAUGUGCAAGUUUACGAUUAAGCUGGCAGUAUAUUUCAUAUGACUUUGACCAACCAGGAACUGUCUAACUCGAACAGGGAAGUGAAUUUGUUUGCAGAGCUUGACAGCUGUAGCAAGGGUAAAGGCUGGGGGUUAAAGAAGAGGAAGGCUUGAAACUGGAAGAAAACUAGAACCGUAUUAUCUUUAUAAUCAAACCUUUAUAUCCUUUGAAACCUGCUGAUAGCCAUGUCUGAGACAAGCAGAAAUGCAUGAACAGGAGGAGCUCUUCGCUUAGUGUCACCUGCCUUCCACUGUUUUGUGCUGAAAAUGCUGCUCUAAAAACGUCUAUUUGGAAGUCACUGUCAUGGGUCUUUCACACUCAGAGGUAAGGGCUGCUGUGGUGUGGAUACAAAGUGUUGUGGGUGUGCCGAUGAUAGUACAAAGCUAUGUUUGAAUCUAUAAAU
This 1141-nucleotide long non-coding RNA is filed under the name Struthio camelus australis. Its description in RNAcentral is "lncRNA (ENSSCUG00000016476.1)". The record is from RNAcentral. Lineage: Eukaryota; Metazoa; Chordata; Aves; Struthioniformes; Struthionidae.